This 76-nucleotide transfer RNA is filed under the name Clavibacter michiganensis. RNAcentral describes it as "tRNA-Val". It matches the Rfam family "tRNA". Rfam says of the family: Transfer RNA (tRNA) molecules are approximately 80 nucleotides in length. RNAcentral also lists the same sequence under 2 other names. Lineage: Bacteria; Bacillati; Actinomycetota; Actinomycetes; Micrococcales; Microbacteriaceae. The record is from RNAcentral.
GGGCCUUUAGCUCAGUUGGUAGAGCGCCACGCUUACACCGUGGAUGUCGUCGGUUCGAGCCCGGCAGGGCCCACGA